GGACUACUGGGGUAUCUAAUCCUGUUCGCUCCCCACGCUUUCGCGUCUCAGCGUCAGUACCGUCCCAGAGAGCCGCCUUCGCCACGGGUGUUCUUCCCGAUAUCUGCGCAUUUCACCGCUACACCGGGAAUUCCACUCUCCUCUUCCGGACUCUAGCCAAACGGUUUCCACCGACCUCUCGAGGUUGAGCCUCGAGUUUUCACAGCGGACCUGCUUGGCCGCCUACACGCUCUUUACGCCCAAUAAAUCCGGACAACGCUUGCCCCCUACGUAUUACCGCGGCUGCUGGCAC
RNAcentral lists this ribosomal RNA (292 nucleotides) under uncultured bacterium. Its description in RNAcentral is "partial 16S ribosomal RNA". The record is from RNAcentral.